This 253-nucleotide ribosomal RNA is filed under the name uncultured bacterium. Its description in RNAcentral is "partial 16S ribosomal RNA". It matches the Rfam family "Bacterial small subunit ribosomal RNA", at positions 524 to 776 of the family's 1533-position model. The record is from RNAcentral.
UACGUAGGGGGCAAGCGUUGUCCGGAAUCCUUGGGCGUAAAGGGCGUGUAGGCGGCCCGGUCAGUCCGCCGUGAAAGUCCAGGGCUCAACCCUGGAAUGCCGGUGGAUACUGCCGGGCUGGAGUCCGGAAGAGGCGAGUGGAAUUCCCGGUGUAGUGGUGAAAUGCGUAGAUAUCGGGAGGAACACCAGUGGCGAAGGCGACUUCCUGGCCUGUUCUUGACGCUGAGGCGCGAAAGCUAGGGGAGCAAACGGG